This 253-nucleotide ribosomal RNA is filed under the name uncultured bacterium. RNAcentral describes it as "partial 16S ribosomal RNA". It matches the Rfam family "Bacterial small subunit ribosomal RNA", at positions 524 to 776 of the family's 1533-position model. The record is from RNAcentral.
UACAGAGGUCUCGAGCGUUAGGCGGAAUCACUGGGCUUAAAGCGUGUGUAGGCGGAUCGUUAAGUACCUUGUGAAAUCCCACGGCUUAACCGUGGAACUGCUUGGUAUACUGGCGGUCUUGAGCCAGCUAGGGGCUACCGGAACAAAUGGUGGAGCGGUGAAAUGCGUAGAUAUCGUCUGGAACGCCGAAGGUGAAAACAGCUUGCUGGGGCCGCGCUGACGCUGAGACACGAAAGCCAGGGGAGCGAACGGG